RNAcentral lists this ribosomal RNA (235 nucleotides) under uncultured Candidatus Saccharibacteria bacterium. Its description in RNAcentral is "partial 16S ribosomal RNA". It matches the Rfam family "Bacterial small subunit ribosomal RNA", at positions 584 to 818 of the family's 1533-position model. The record is from RNAcentral. Lineage: Bacteria; Candidatus Saccharimonadota.
UAAGCGAAUAGUGAAAUCUGAUGGCUCAACCAUCAUCACAUUAUUCGAACUCACGAACUCGAGAAUGGUAGAGGUAGCUGGAAUUUCCUGUGUAGGAGUGAAAUCCGUAGAUAUAGGAAGGAACACCAAUGGCGUAGGCAGGCUACUGGACCAUUUCUGACGCUGAGGCACGAAAGCGUGGGGAGCGAACCGGAUUAGAUACCCGGGUAGUCCACGCCGUAAACGAUGGAUGCUA